This 445-nucleotide ribosomal RNA is filed under the name uncultured bacterium. Its description in RNAcentral is "partial 16S ribosomal RNA". It matches the Rfam family "Bacterial small subunit ribosomal RNA", at positions 354 to 796 of the family's 1533-position model. The record is from RNAcentral.
GUGAGGAAUAUUGGUCAAUGGGCGAGAGCCUGAACCAGCCAAAUCGCGUGAAGGAUGAAGGUAUUAUGUAUUGUAAACUUCUUUUAUCGGGGAAUAAAGUGCGGGACGUGUCCCGUUUUGUAUGUACCCGAAGAAUAAGGAUCGGCUAACUCCGUGCCAGCAGCCGCGGUAAUACGGAGGAUCCAAGCGUUAUCCGGAUUUAUUGGUUUUAAAGGGUGCGUAGGCGGACUGUCAAGUCAGCGGUGAAAGUCCAUGGCUCAACCAUGGAAUUGCCGUUGAAACUGUCGGUCUUGAGUGUAGAUGAGGUAGGCGGAAUUCGUAGUGUAGCGGUGAAAUGCUUAGAUAUUACGAAGAACUCCAAUUGCGUAGGCAGCUUACCAGGCUACAACUGACGCUGAGGCACGAAGGUGCGGGGAUCAAACAGGAUUAGAAACCCGAGUAGUCC